GACGAACGCUGGCGGCGGGCUUAACACAUGCAAGUCGAACGGAAAGGCCCUGCUUUUGUGGGGUGCUCGAGUGGCGAACGGGUGAGUAACACGUGAGUAACCUGCCCUUGACUUUGGGAUAACUUCAGGAAACUGGGGCUAAUACCGGAUAGGAGCUCCGGCUGCAUGGUGGGGGGUGGAAAGUGUCGGCGGGUGGGGCUGGACUCGCGGCUAAUCAGCGUGUUGGUGGGGUAGUGGCUUACCGAGGCGUUGACGGGUAGCCGGCAUGAGAGGGUGAACGGCCACAUUGGGACUGCGAUACGGCCCAGUCUCCUACGGGAGGCAGCAGGGGGGAAUAUUGCACAAUGGGCGGAAGCCUGAUGCAGCAACGCCGCGUGCGGGAUGACGGCCUUCGGGUUGUAAACCGCUUUCGCCUGUGACGAAGCGUGAGUGACGGUAAUGGGUAAAGAAGCACCGGCUAACUCCGUG
Molecule: ribosomal RNA, 468 nt
Filed under: uncultured bacterium
Lineage: Bacteria
Description: partial 16S ribosomal RNA
Rfam family: Bacterial small subunit ribosomal RNA
Source: RNAcentral